Molecule: long non-coding RNA, 1681 nt
Organism: Xenopus laevis (African clawed frog)
Lineage: Eukaryota; Metazoa; Chordata; Amphibia; Anura; Pipidae
Exons: 3
Source: RefSeq, a predicted model, not a curated record
GGAGCAGAGUCGGGAGUGGGAGGGAAAUACUGAAGAAGGGAAGGGGGGUCGCUAGAAGUCCAGGGGCGCAGGGAGAGACAGAGUCAGAGCUGCAGGAGAGGAUCACGUUACACUUCUCUGUAUCUCCAGCCCCCGCUCCUGAUCUGCGCGACCCCUCAGCCUGACUCGGCCAGUAUCUCCUGCCUGAGGAUCUGUCCCUGGUGCUGAAAGCCGGGCCCGCCUGUAGCGCAGAGAGAAGAAGCCGCGACAUCUCUGGCCCAGAGACACAGUCGCACUGGAGGAGUCGGGAGUCAAGGGCAACGUGUCGGGGGCGCGGGUUUAGUGGCAGGAGAGUCCGAGGCUGAGUGUGAGGCACAGGCCGGGGCAGCUGCUCUCAAACUGACACCAACUCGGGCCUUGAACAACCUCCGAUCCACCAGCUGUUCCUUAAUAAUCAUCUCACAGUUCAUAGAAGGACCCCCAUAAACCAAACACUGCAAGGACUCAAUAGGGAACCUCUUACUAGCAAGGACCCCCAGUCCAACUGUGACAAGUAGCUGAUUAACAGGAGAAGCCCCCAGGCCUCCAGGGACCAUACAAGAGACCCUCCCCAGGCUGGACACAAACUCAAAGUCCUUAGUUGGGACCCUCGUUAACAAAAGGAGACCAAAACAAGAGUGAAGUUCAAAACCCCCUGCAUGGAUCUCAUUAGUAAUAACCAAACCAGGUAACCAGGAACUCCUCCAAGAUUAUCCUCACUGGAGAAACCCUGGUCUACAUAUACAAAGAGCAACAAUUAAAGGUAAUCCACUCUUUUGCGUUUCUACCUAUAAACUGAUAUAUACAGGGGGAGGGGGAAGCAGAUCCUCCAGCACCUUGACAUGUAAAGGAAUUCUCCAACAAGUAACCCCAUUUAUAGGGUCCCAGUGACCAUUACUACAAACCUCUCUUGGUGUCCUAAUACCGGUCUCUGAAACCAGCAAGCUAAAACUUUCCUAGAGGCAAUUAAAGGUCAAGCACACCAGUCUACAGAUACUUCCAAGCAUGGACCUCUGAUCAGAAAAGGCACCCAUCAGCCCUACAGAUGAACAAGGUCAACGUUGACCUAGAUACCAUCAUCUCCCUGUGGAAAUUAGCACCCUCACAGGUCCCCCCAUCAUCAACCAACUUCAUUGCCUACCUGGAGUCAAUUUAACAUUUGUUCAAACAGAGGUGUCUUCACCCACUGGCGUACAAUAAACCAAGCCAAUGAUGAUUCAUUUCCCUCCUGAUGCUUUAUAACAGGAUAUAAGGCUGACAACAGAUUCUUUGGAAACAGGGAGAGCAGAGCCGACUUGGAGAUGGCGGAAGCUUUUGUCUGCAUGAUGCCAUCAAUAGACCAGAUUUUAAUCACCCCGUCAACAUCCACACUAGCCACCCGGCACCCGGAGCAGUCGACCCUGCCAGAGAAAAAGCAAUAAUGUUAACGGCUGGCAAAAAAUCUACUUUAAAUGGAUGGUUCACCUUUGAGUUAACUGUUAGUAUGAUGUAGAGAGUGAUAUCAUUAUUAUUAUUGACAUUUAUUUAUAUAGCGCCAGCAUAUUUCUCAGUGCUGUAAAGUAAAUGUGUUUAUACAACGAAAUCACAUGAAUUACAUACAUAGAACAUAUGGAGUUACAUACAACACAACCAAUAAGGUACAAAAGGCGAGGAAGGCCCUGUG